GUGCCACAAAGUGCCCAGAGAGCAGGAAGCACACAUAGAACCAUCAAUGCUCCUUUCCGUAGGAGAAAUAGCUGAACGGGCAAUGUGUUCAUCUCUGUAUAAGUUCAGAUGUGAUUACCCAGGUCCAGAAGGUUUGGUCUACUUCUCUCUUAAUCCCAUAUUUUCUUCUUUAGAUAAUAAUUAUUCUUUUAGUUAAGAUGUGAUCAGCCUUCAUGAUGCAUGGAUGCAAAUUUGGAUAGUUGGAUUCUUGACGUGCACAUAAAUACGUUGAGAAGUUGCAACUAGAAUAAAGCUUCCGUCCAACUGCAGGUUAGUAUAUGCCUUAUAUGUUCUAAGGAAUUCCGCUUUCUCGUUGCAACAGCCAGAAGUGCAAAAUCUACUGAAGUUUGAAUGUUAAUCCAGCUUAUUACUUGGGGCCUCUGAUAUAUGCAUCAAAAUCAUAGAUUUUUAUUUUUGCAAAUUGUUGGUGACUACUGAUCAUCUUUAUUGUUUUUUAUUCAUACAGUUCACGGGGCAAUGAGUAUGAGAUCUGUUCGUGGGUGUCAGUCAAUGUUAGAUUGGUUCUGCAACUAUUUUUCGUCUGAAAAGAUAUACUUUGCAGCAUCAUGUAUGAUAUGUAUAUGCUUGGUUCAGUGUUAUUCAUAGCUAUGUUACUGUGUCCACGUGCUUCCUUCAUAUAUUUUGGCUCACUCGGCUUCCUCCUGCGUCGGCAG
RNAcentral lists this long non-coding RNA (713 nucleotides) under Triticum aestivum (bread wheat). RNAcentral's name for it is "long non-coding RNA (TAES_LNC011196)". The record is from RNAcentral. Lineage: Eukaryota; Viridiplantae; Streptophyta; Magnoliopsida; Poales; Poaceae.